AGCCUGUUCUGUGGGAUGGCUUCCAUUCUUCCCAACUGGACCAAGGCAUGAUUCAUACCACAUUGUCUGUUUCAUCUUGUCAUUCUUCAUGGCAAAGCAGGAAUUGCCCAGUUAGGCGUGCAAGCCAAAAAAAAGACACAAUUUAUUUGUAGUCAGUGAAGGACUCAAGCAACUUUUAAGAAGAUGAAGACUGGAUCACAGUAAAAUGUUGGAGGAAGGAAUGGCCCAAUAUUCUUUGUACCAACAAAAAUAAAUGUGACAAGACUACAUCACUUCUGUGCUGAAAAUAUAAUCCAGAGUAUAACUUUAAUUAAAGCUCUAAGUUUGCAGGAUCAGACCCUGAAUGCCCUGUCCUGGGAACUGAGCUAAUGGCAGGAACCAGAGACUGAUUUAACUUCUGUACUAAAGAGCUUUGGCAUCUGAAGCUUGCAUGUGCUGCAACAAGAUGCUGAAAAGCCACAAAACCGAUGAGACAACUGGCAAGUUACUCAGCGACCCUGAUGAGUGUGUGGAAUGAAGCUGGGAGAGGAGGGUUUCCAACCACCCAACCAACCAGGAUUUUUUUAUCACUGCUGACAGGGCUGCUCCUUUGACCCACAAAGGAAAGUUAAGGAAUGGAGAUAACCUGCUGCAGGAUGCAAAAGCUCUUUACAGCAGGAGCCAGCUAAUGAUCGUUAAAACCAGGGAAUGGAAGACUUUUUGCUAGAACUGAUGGUACGUUAUCAUUCAGCAAGUAUCCAAGCUGAGGGAGCCUGUACAAGGAGGACCUGUGAUCUUCAGCAAAGUAACUGUGGUUUGUCCUUACUGUUGUUUCUAUGACAUCAAUAUAACAUCCACAUCGCUUAAAGAAAAAUGCCAGAUCUAAAGUAACAGAACUCUCCAUCCCUAAGAUGGAGCAGAAGUCAGACCUUUUCUUCAAUAUCCCACAACAGAGUCCCUUUAUUGAAAAGUCAUCCCCCAACUACAAACAAUCUAACCACAUACUGUUGCUUCUCUGAAAAGGUAAAUGGUGCAAAAUGCACCCCAGGGUUACUGUGUACAAUGUGCUUCAUGAGGCAAAUGCCAACAUCCCAAUAAACUAUUUAAUGCUAUUAUGAUGUAGUGGUGAAAGCCAAGCAGAGAGAUUCAACAAAGCAUAAUUUACUGAUUCCUUCUCUAUUUGGAGUGCAGGUUGAAACAAUCUGUUGGCAGCUUAGUCAUCCUUCUGUUUUCCCCCGGCACGUAUUUGCAUUUUUCUCCCUCAAAAUCUGGGAGAGCAAAAUUCAUUUUCUAAAAAACCCAGAAAACAAAAUCAAACCAACCAAGCGUGUUGCCUAUGAGCUGCCUGCAUGCAUUGCCAUGGUCGAAGUUUCAGUUGUGGUGCAAACGUUGGCAAUGUCAGAACUAAUCAGUUCAGUGAUUCAGCAAGGGAGGCAGAGAGGAAAGAUAGUAUAAACAGCUGGGUCAUUGUGCUCCUUUCCCAGUGUUAAUAAUACAUAAAUAUUGUCUUUAUUUACCAUUUCAUUCAUACAUUCAAGCAAGCACUGAUCAUUCAAAGGAUGCUAAGCCAAAUAAGCAGAUAAAGGCUGUUGCAGUGUUGGCUUUCUGUAGAAGCCCUGUGCAAACUAGGUGCCUCUUUUCUGAAAUGGGAAGAUUUUGAUUUGUUUCUGUCCUAUUUUGCUGUGACUUUAGAUGUCACACUUGAAUCACCACUGCCUCAGCUGCUCAACACAGACUAGACUGGACUACUAGGCUGUGGUUUACAUAGUGUUCAUAAGCUUCACCAGUUUUAAAAUAGCAUCUGAAACCCUCCAAGAGAAAAUACUACUGAAAUAUAAAGCAUUACCAUCAAACAGGUAAGCACAAUCUACUUUUUUAAAAGUGUAUUAGUUACUCUCUUGUCAUGGUUUUACCCCAGCUGACAGCUAAGCAGCACACAGCUGCUCUCUCACUCCCCCUCAGUGGGAUGAGGGAGAGAACUGGAAGAGUAAAAGUGAGAAAACUUGUGAGUUGAGAUCUAGACAGUUUAAUAGGUAAAGCAAAAGCCGUGCAUGCAAGCAAAGCAAAACAAGGACUUCAUUCCCCACUUCCCAUCAGCGGGCAGUUCAGCCAUCUCCAGGAAAGCAGGGCUCCAUCGUGCAUAACAGUUACUUGGGAAGACACACCCCAUCACUCAAGACAUCCCCCCGCCCUUCCUUCUCCUUCCCCCAGCUUUAUAUGCUGAGCAUGACAUCAUAUGGUAUGGAAUAUCCCUUUAGUCAGUUGGGGUCAGCUGUCCUGGCUGUGUCCCCUCCAACUCCUUGUGCACCCCCAGCCUACUUGCUGGUGGGGUGGGGUAAGAAGCAGAAAAGGCCUAAACUGCUUAGCAACAACUAAAAUACAGAGCUUUAUCAAUACUAUUCUCAUCCUAAAUCCAAAACACAGCACUAUACCAGCUGCCAGGAAGAAAAUUAACUCUAUCCCAGCCAAAACCAGGACAUGUCUAGAUGACUGAUGACAAUGAA
Molecule: long non-coding RNA, 2483 nt
Organism: Grus americana (Whooping crane)
Lineage: Eukaryota; Metazoa; Chordata; Aves; Gruiformes; Gruidae
Exons: 4
Source: RefSeq, a predicted model, not a curated record